CCUACGGGAGGCAGCAGUGAGGAAUAUUGGUCAAUGGCCGGAAGGCUGAGCCAGCCAUGCCGCGUGAAGGUCAGUGCCCUAUGGGCGUUAAACUUCUUUUGUGCGGGAGCAAUAAUGGUCACGUGUGGCCAGACGAGAGUACCGUACGAAUAAGCAUCGGCUAACUCCGUGCCAGCAGCCGCGGUAAUACGGGGGAUGCAAGCGUUAUCCGGAUUUAUUGGGUUUAAAGGGUGCGUAGGCUGUGAGGUAAGUCAGCGGUGAAAUGCCCCCGCUCAACGGGGUGAAGUGCCAUUGAUACUGCCUGGCUGGAAUGCGGAUGCCGUGGGAGGAAUGUGUGGUGUAGCGGUGAAAUGCAUAGAUAUCACACAGAACACCGAUUGCGAAGGCAUCUCACGAAUCCGCGAUUGACGCUGAUGCACGAAAGCGUGGGUAUCAAACAGGAUUAGAUACCCCUGUAGUC
RNAcentral lists this ribosomal RNA (460 nucleotides) under uncultured bacterium. Its description in RNAcentral is "partial 16S ribosomal RNA". It matches the Rfam family "Bacterial small subunit ribosomal RNA", at positions 338 to 795 of the family's 1533-position model. The record is from RNAcentral.